RNAcentral lists this ribosomal RNA (500 nucleotides) under uncultured bacterium. Its description in RNAcentral is "bacterial SSU rRNA". It matches the Rfam family "Bacterial small subunit ribosomal RNA", at positions 30 to 504 of the family's 1533-position model. The record is from RNAcentral.
UGAACGCUGGCGGCGUGCUUAACACAUGCAAGUCGAACGAGAAAGUCUUUGCUUGCAAAGACGAGUAGAGUGGCGCACGGGUGAGUAACACGUAGAUAAUCUACCUUCAAACCUGGAAUAACUAUUCGAAAGGGUAGCUAAUACCGGAUAAAGUUUAUUGACAUAAGCUGAUAAAUGAAAGAUUGCCUCUUCUUGAAAGCAAUUGUUUGGAGAUGAGUCUGCGGACCAUUAGCUUGUUGGUGGGGUAAAGGCCUACCAAGGCUGCGAUGGUUAGCUGGUCUGAGAGGAUGAUCAGUCACACUGGAACUGGAACACGGUCCAGACUCCUACGGGAGGCAGCAGUGAGGAAUUUUGCGCAAUGGGGGAAACCCUGACGCAGCAACGCCGCGUGAGUGAAGAAGGCCUUUGGGUCGUAAAGCUCUGUCAACUGGGAAGAAGUUAUAUAUGUCCAAUAGGCAUAUGUAUUGACGGUACCAGUGGAGGAAGCGCCGGCUAACUCC